RNAcentral lists this ribosomal RNA (468 nucleotides) under uncultured bacterium. RNAcentral's name for it is "partial 16S ribosomal RNA". It matches the Rfam family "Bacterial small subunit ribosomal RNA", at positions 28 to 507 of the family's 1533-position model. The record is from RNAcentral.
GACGAACGCUGGCGGCGUGCUUAACACAUGCAAGUCGAACGGAAAGGCCCUGCUUUUGUGGGGUGCUCGAGGGGCGAACGGGUGAGUAACACGUGAGUAACCUGCCCUUGACUUUGGGAUAACUUCAGGAAACUGGGGCUAAUACCGGAUAGGAUCUCCUGCUGCAUGGUGGGGGUUGGAAAGUUUCGGCGGUUGGGGAUGGACUCGCGGCUUAUCAGCUUGUUGGUGGGGUAGUGGCUUACCAAGGGUUUGACGGGUAGCCGGCAUGAGAGGGUGACCGGCGACAUUGGGACUGAGAGACGGACCAGACUCGUACGGGAGGCAGCAGUGGCGAAUAUUGCACAAUGGGCGGAAGCCUGAUGCAGCAACGCCGCGUGCGGGAUGACGGCCUUCGGGUUGUAAACCGCUUUCGCCUGUGACGAAGCGGGAGUGACGGUAAUGGGUAAAGAAGCACCGGCUAACUACGUG